AUUGAACGCUGGCGGCAGGCUUAACACAUGCAAGUCGAGCGGGGUGAUGGUGCUUGCACUAUCACUUAGCGGCGGACGGGUGAGUAAUGCUUAGGAAUCUGCCUAUUAGUGGGGGACAACAUCUCGAAAGGGAUGCUAAUACCGCAUACGUCCUACGGGAGAAAGCAGGGGAUCACUUGUGACCUUGCGCUAAUAGAUGAGCCUAAGUCGGAUUAGCUAGUUGGUGGGGUAAAGGCCUACCAAGGCGACGAUCUGUAGCGGGUCUGAGAGGAUGAUCCGCGACACUGGGACUGAGACACGGCCCAGACUCCUACGGGAGGCAGCAGUGGGGAAUAUUGGACAAUGGGGGGAACCCUGAUCCAGCCAUGCCGCGUGUGUGGAGAAGGCCUUAUGGUUGUAAAGCACUUUAAGCGAGGAGGAGGCUCUUUUGGUUAAUACCCAAGAUGAGUGGACGUUACUUGCAGAAUAAGCACCGGCUAACUCUGUGCCAGCCGCCGCAGUAA
This 503-nucleotide ribosomal RNA is filed under the name uncultured bacterium. RNAcentral's name for it is "partial 16S ribosomal RNA". It matches the Rfam family "Bacterial small subunit ribosomal RNA", at positions 30 to 523 of the family's 1533-position model. The record is from RNAcentral.